This 1379-nucleotide ribosomal RNA is filed under the name Schroedera airthreyi. RNAcentral describes it as "SSU rRNA". It matches the Rfam family "Microsporidia small subunit ribosomal RNA". Lineage: Eukaryota; Fungi; Microsporidia; Mrazekiidae. The record is from RNAcentral.
GUUGAUUCUGCCUGACGUAUGCGCUUGUCUUGAAGAUUUAGCCAUGCAAGCUUGUGACCGUAAGUGAACAGUAGACAGCUCAGUAAUACAGUUAUUAUUUACUCGUAAAAUAUGGAUAACCAUGGAAAACUAUGGCUAAUACAUAAAAUGUUCUACGGAACUUGUUACGACUAAGUUUCUGACCUAUUAGCUAGAUGGUAGGGUAAAGGCCUACCAUGGCGAUGAUGGGUAACGGGGAAUUAACGUUCGAUACCGGAGAGGGAGCCUGAGAAAUAGCUCCCACGUCUAAGGAUGGCAGCAGGCGCGAAACUUACCCAAUUCCUUAUGGAGAGGUAGUGAAGAGACAUUUUUUUCACUUGAAAGGAAAUUUAAACCAUUGCCUUGUAAACUGGAGGGCAAGUCUGGUGCCAGCAGCCGCGGUAAUUCCAGCUCCAGUAGCGCAUAUAAGAAUUGUUGCUGUUAAAAGGUCCGUCGUAUUUUAUGAUGUUACUAUGAGGAAAAUGUAUAUCUCAAAUGAAAUAUAUAGCAUAGGACAAAGUAAAGAUAGGAACAGAUGAUGGCAACAGUAUUUAAUAGUUAGAGGUGAAAAUUGAAGACCUAUUAAGGACUAUCAGAAGCGAAAGCGGUUGUCAAGUAUGUAUCCGUUUAUCAAGGACUCAAGCUAGAGUAUCGAAGAUGAUUAGAUACCGUCGUAGUUCUAGCUGUAAACGAUGCCAACUAGGUGAGGCUGUAAGCUACGCCUUAGGAGAAAUCAAAGUUUAUGGGCUCAGGGGAUAGUAAGCAUCGCAAGAGUGAAACUUAAAGAAAUUGACGGAAGGAUACCACAAGGAGUGGAUUGUGCGGCUUAAUUUGACUCAACGCGGGACAACUUACCAGGGCCGAAUGUUUAAGAGAUUGGCGAUCUGAGAGGAUUCCCGAGAUUAGACAAAGGGUGGUGCAUGGCCGUUUUCAACACGUGGGGUGACCUGUCUGGUUAAUUCCGAUAACGCGUGAGGCCCUAACGGUAAUUUGAUUACUGGACGGACAGUGGUAAGCUGUAGGAAGGAGGGCGAUAACAGGUCAGUGAUGCCCCCAGAUGCUCUGGGCUGCACGCGCAAUACAAUAUAUAAGAUAGAAUAUAUGCAGAAAUGUAUGAUUUAAACUUGUGUAUACCUGGGAUAAGCGCUUGUAAAUGCGUUUUGAACUUGGAAUUCCUAGUAAUCGCAGGUCAUUAUGCUGCGAUGAAUGUGUCCCUGUUCUUUGUACACACCGCCCGUCACUAUCUUAGAUGAAUGUAUAGGUGAAAUGGCUGGACGUAAGAAAGGCAGUUGAACCUGUGCAAUUAGAUAAGAUAUAAGUCGUAACAAGGCUGCUAUAGGAGAACCUGUGGCAGGAUCAAU